GGAGGCUUUGAAAGGCCUUAGCCGGGAUGACCUGAGGGAUCUUUUUCCCGGCCCCGAGAAUUUCCUCAAAAGAAAGAAACUUUGGAAUUUCAUCAGUGAAAAUGUAAACACAAAUUGGAAUGAGUAAAAAUUAGUAAAGUAUGAAUUUGAAUGGUUCUAAUGCACUUUGUUUUCAUUCUACACAAUCCAAAUGGUGUGAAAAUACCACAGACCAAGAUGCCAACCAUUGUGCCAUGCCACCAUGCUAGCCUCAAACCUCAACCCCCAUAUCUGCUGAGAAAAUAAUGAAAAUGCCAGACCCUCCAGAGUAUGUGGUGUACACAGAUUCUGAGUUAGACAUGGUGCGUAGUCAAUACUUUGCACUGCUCUGCAAUGGAAAGUAAAAAAAAUACAAAAUGUCCAAGGAGCUAUGUUGCAGACUUGUAAGGAACACAAUAACCAGUAUGGUUGCUAUCCUGCAUGCUAGUCCCAUGGGGAAAGAAGCCAGAUACCCGUCAGAAUUGGAAAUGAGAGCCAUGUCACAGAAGAUUAUAGACUAUUACCCAAUGUUACAGGAUGAUGUUCCAAACAUGCCAUAUUUAAAUAUUAUUUUUUUAUCUAAACCAAAACUGUGGGCAGGUCAGCAACAAGACAAACAGCGUAUCUAACAUUCUUUUACCACAGCUGACCAUCUACACCAAAAUGUACAAGCGACUCCAAAAUAUGAGAUUCCCACGGAAGAGGCAAGGCUCUGUACCACAAAGAGGAGUGGCAAAGACGGCUCUCUUCAGUGCAGACAACCAAGACAUGGAGACGGAUUGGACAGACACAAGCAACUCGAGUGAUAAUACCGUACUUCUUUAGAGCAAUGACCUGACAGAGGACAAUUCCAGUGCAGGUGUGCAAAUUCAUCCCCAGUACAACGACCCCCAAGGAAGCCAAAGACCAAAACCUUGCUGCUGUCAUCCGCAUCAGCUUCAGGCUCCUCACUCAGGACUGUGAUCACUUCACCAACCACACCUGCAAAGGAUGAUGUUGACGGCCAGGACAGUCUGAAGAUGCAGGCUAGGCACUACAAAACCUUGAGCAACAUGUACAAUAAGCCAAAUGCAAAACCCAUUCACAGCGAUGUUGCUCAAGUUUUAGACCUUGAGUUUAAGGCCAGACGGGCUUUCAUUAAUGCAGAUGUUACAAGGGAAGAAGACCGACCUGCAAAAAUCUUUGAGGCAUAUUCAUGCUUUAGAGAUGUUCGAAAUGUAUGUUUGUUUGUUUUUAUUUUUUAUAACUACUUGCACUUGAAUUACUGUCUAUCCAUCUGUGUUCUAAAUGUCCAAUGGUUGAAUAACUGUGCACAAUGCUGUCUAAGGCAAUGGAUGAGCUGCGGUGCAUAGUAGGUGGCACCAACAGCAGAUACAUCGAGGAAGUGAAAGGAAGAUGGGCAGACUUUUGUGCCAAGGUGCAGUUCUAUGAUGUGUGGAAGAAAGCCCUGGACAUCCAUUGGAUGUCCGUGGAGUGGAGUUCACGCUUGCCCUCUUCAAUGCACUCCCAUCCCUUUUCCCCUCACCAACUUCACCACCAAAGAAGCUUGGAAAUAGCUGUGAGGCACUUCUUCAUGUCCUGAAGGUAAAAACAUUUUUGUGUGUUGAUUCCUUACUGUCCUCUUAUUUUCUCACAUUGUUGUGCAUGUCACAUAACAAUACACCCUAAUUUCACAAUCACAGAUAUGACCUAAUUUUUGCAAAAAGGGGAAGACAUAAGUGCCUCUAGUGUCCCUCAAAUGGUGUUCACAGAAAGGAAUACCAAGAAAUGUUUCAAAAUCUUUGA
This is an RNA transcript of Gadus chalcogrammus (walleye pollock), 1803 nucleotides long. RefSeq lists it as uncharacterized. The transcript has 4 exons. The record is from RefSeq and is a predicted model, not a curated record. NCBI's taxonomy places the organism in Eukaryota, Metazoa, Chordata, Actinopteri, Gadiformes, Gadidae.